Molecule: ribosomal RNA, 538 nt
Filed under: uncultured bacterium
Lineage: Bacteria
Description: bacterial SSU rRNA
Rfam family: Bacterial small subunit ribosomal RNA
Source: RNAcentral
CCCAACUGCAUGGGCGAAGCCUGACGGAGCGACGCCGCGUGGACGAUGAAGGCCGAAAGGUUGUAAAGUCCUUUUCCCGGUGAAGAAUAAGCCUGCGAGGGAAUGCGCGGGUGAUGACAGUAACCACGGAAUAAGCCCCGGCUAACUACGUGCCAGCAGCCGCGGUAACACGUAGGGGGCGAGCGUUGUUCGGAUUUAUUGGGCGUAAAGGGCGUGUAGGCGGUUCGGUAAGCCUGGUGUGAAAGGCGCAAGCUCAACUUGCGAUCCGCGCCGGGGACUGUCGGACUAGAGUUUCGGAAGGGAAGCUGGAAUUCCAGGUGUAGGGGUGAAAUCUGUAGAUAUCUGGAAGAACACCGGUGGCGAAGGCGAGCUUCUGGCCAGAGACUGACGCUGAGGCGCGAAAGCGUGGGGAGCAAACAGGAUUAGAUACCCUGGUAGUCCACGCUGUAAACGAUGUGCACUAGGUGUUGGGGCGUUCGCUUCAGUGCCGUAGCAAACGCGUUAAGUGCACCGCCUGGGGAGUAUGCUCGCAAGGGUG